UUAAAUCUCAACCUUUGCAAUCCACAGCAAUCAAGCCUUUCUGCAAUAAAAAUUAUCAAAUUGGCAGGGUGUGAAUUUAAGUAAAGCACUAGACCCAGUGUUCCAGGGUUGUAAGCAGACAUAGAACAUGUUGCAAAUAACCAGAAAGCAGAUUUAGGGAUACAAUUAUAGCAUCAGAAUAAACGUAGGAGGCAGGAUACAGAGGUUUUAUGAACAGUG
Pelobates cultripes (western spadefoot toad) is the source of this 219-nucleotide non-coding RNA. Lineage: Eukaryota; Metazoa; Chordata; Amphibia; Anura; Pelobatidae. The record is from the annotation of a GenBank genome assembly.